Molecule: ribosomal RNA, 199 nt
Filed under: uncultured Streptococcaceae bacterium
Lineage: Bacteria; Bacillati; Bacillota; Bacilli; Lactobacillales; Streptococcaceae
Description: partial 16S ribosomal RNA
Rfam family: Bacterial small subunit ribosomal RNA
Source: RNAcentral
GGGAUAACUAUUGGAAACGAUAGCUAAUACCGCAUAAGAGUAGAUGUUGCAUGACAUUUGCUUAAAAGGUGCAAUUGCAUCACCACCAGAUGGACCUGCGUUGUAUUAGCUAGUUGGUGGGGUAACGGCUCACCAAGGCGACGAUACAUAGCCGACCUGAGAGGGUGAUCGGCCACACUGGGACUGAGACACGGCCCAG